CUACGGGUGGCUGCAGUCGAGAAUCUUUUGCAAUGGGCGAAAGCCUGACAAUGCGACGCCGCGUGAGCGAUGAAGCCCUUCGGGGUGUAAAGCUCUGUCAGCCCGGAUGAAUAUGCGCUUAUGAAUAAUAAGCUCAGACGACAGUACGGGCAGAGGAAGCCACGGCUAACUCCAUGCCAGCAGCCGCGGUAAUACGGAGGUGGCAAGCGUUGUUCGGAUUCAUUGGGUGUAAAGGGUAUGUAGGUGUCCCGGAAAGUCGAAUGUGAAAUCCCCUGGCUCAACCAAGGAACUACAUUCGAAACUUCCGGGAUUGAGUAUGGAAGAGGAGAGUGGAAUUCCCGGUGUAAGGGUGAAAUCUGUAGAUAUCGGGAGGAACACCAGUGGCGCAAGCGGCUCUCUGGUCCAAUACUGACACUGAAAUACGAAAGCAAGGGGAGCAAACAGGAUUAGAUACCCCGGUAGUC
Molecule: ribosomal RNA, 464 nt
Filed under: uncultured bacterium
Lineage: Bacteria
Description: partial 16S ribosomal RNA
Rfam family: Bacterial small subunit ribosomal RNA
Source: RNAcentral